UGAAGAUACCGGGAAUCACUGGGAAUGUGAAACGGUCCAGCCACUCUGGAAGAUACUCUAGUCAUUUCUUUAAAAUAUGCACAUAUGCACGCAGAUAUGACCCAGUAAUUACACCCUUUUUAAACUGGAAAUGAUCCAGAUGCCCUUCAGUGGGUGCGUGGCAGAACAAACUGUGGUAAACCCGUGCCAUGGAAUACUUCUCAGCAGCAGAAAAGGAGAACUAACUGACCUUUAGGGAUCCUUCGAUUUGUUGACAGAUAGCCCUGGAAGGCAGAGUAGAUAUGAUUGCCUAUGGAGCAGACAGGGUGAGAAGCAGCCUUGGAGAGCAUCCCAAGGGCACUGGAGUGGUUAGAGGGAGAAUGGGCAGAGGAGCCUGAGCAGAGGUCAGGGAUGAGAGUGGUGUCACAGCAGCUGAGAGAGGGGUUUGAGAAGAGAGUGGUCAACUGUGCCAGCAGAUGAGAAGCCAAGUAAGCAGAGACCUGCAGCCACAGGGAGGUCAGUGGGGCUCCAAGGAGAGCACUCUGCAGGGGGCACAACAAGCACCGAGGAGGCUGGAUCUAGCCAUGGAGAGUGUGUGGCUUGGCCUCAAAAAUUCAAGGGCAGUGAAAUGCUAAAAUUCCCAUCACUGUCUAAUUUGCUAGGCAGCAGUAAGUGAUGAUGUCUUGUAACAGUAUAGAAAAGAUACUGAUAGUCUAAGUUUUCUUAUAAAAGUGUCCCAUAGCUGUUCAGUUUUUAGUCAAACAUUUGUUUUACUCUGUGCCCCAGAUACAAUACUGAAUGAUGUGCAUAGAUUAUCUUAAUUAAGACUCACAAUUACUUCAUGGCAUAAGUACUAAUACAAGCUCAUUAUAGUGACAAGGAGACUGAGGCCUAAGAAGUAAAGCAGCUUUCCCCAAGUUACACUCUCAGAAAGUGUUAAGAGCCAGGAUUGUAAAAAGGAGUUUGUAACCUGCAAUUGAACUUGUAUAACGGCCAACUGAACUAAAGACUUAGAUCUUCAGUUUCUCCAAAUUGAAUUAUUUUGAGGCUGAAUCAUUCCUACUGGAUAGAAGGAGAAAGACUAUGGUGAAGAUUAGCUGAGUUAAGGAUAACUAGUUCCAAGAAAGCUUCAGUAACUAAAGGGUUCAGAUACUGUGCAGAAUGCUAAAUGAUUGGAGUUCCUGUCGUGGCUCAAUGGAAACGAAUCUAAGCAGUAUCCAUGUUUGAUCUCUGGCCUCACUCAGUGGGUUAAGGAUUCGGCGUUGCUGUGAGCUGUGGUGUAGGUC
Molecule: long non-coding RNA, 1265 nt
Filed under: Sus scrofa (pig)
Lineage: Eukaryota; Metazoa; Chordata; Mammalia; Artiodactyla; Suidae
Description: lncRNA (ENSSSCG00015060105.1)
Source: RNAcentral